CGGCGGAGACCGGGAGCGGUGAGGGCACGGCCGGGGUAAGAGAAACAGCGGAACGCUGAGGGCACGGCCGGGAUGGGAUUCUGCCGCUGGAUCUCAAAGUGCUGGGAGUGGAGCUGGGAGCAGAAAGGAUGACUCCUGCCCAGGAAAACGUUUGUAAACGUGUCAAAGGUGGUCCGUGUGCGCCCUGAGAAUGAGAAG
This is a long non-coding RNA of Passer montanus (Eurasian tree sparrow), 198 nucleotides long. RefSeq lists it as uncharacterized. The transcript is spliced from 2 exons. Lineage: Eukaryota; Metazoa; Chordata; Aves; Passeriformes; Passeridae. The record is from RefSeq and is a predicted model, not a curated record.